UACGAAGGGUGCAAGCGUUACUCGGAAUUACUGGGCGUAAAGGGUGCGUAGGUGGUCGUUUAAGUCCGUUGUGAAAUCCCUGGGCUCAACCUGGGAAUGGCAGUGGAUACUGGAUGGCUUGAAUUCGGGAGAGGGAUGCAGAAUUCCAGGUGUAGCGGUGAAAUGCGUAGAUAUCUGGAGGAAUACCGGUGGCGAAGGCGGCAUCCUGGACCGACAUUGACGCUGAACGGCGAAAGCUAGGGGAGCAAACGGG
RNAcentral lists this ribosomal RNA (253 nucleotides) under uncultured bacterium. Its description in RNAcentral is "partial 16S ribosomal RNA". It matches the Rfam family "Bacterial small subunit ribosomal RNA", at positions 524 to 776 of the family's 1533-position model. The record is from RNAcentral.